GGCUCAGUGGUCUAGGGGUAUGAUUCGCGCUUCGGUGCGCGAGGUCCGGGUUCAAAUCCCGGCUGAGCCC
Non-coding RNA from Caligus rogercresseyi, 70 nucleotides. The record is from the annotation of a GenBank genome assembly. NCBI's taxonomy places the organism in Eukaryota, Metazoa, Arthropoda, Copepoda, Siphonostomatoida, Caligidae.